ACACUCCUGCGGGAGGCAGCAGUGGGGAAUAUUGGACAAUGGGGGCAACCCUGAUCCAGCCAUGCCGCGUGAGUGAUGAAGGCCCUAGGGUUGUAAAGCUCUUUUGUGCGGGAAGAUAAUGACGGUACCGCAAGAAUAAGCCCCGGCUAACUUCGUGCCAGCAGCCGCGGUAAUACGAAGGGGGCUAGCGUUGCUCGGAAUCACUGGGCGUAAAGGGUGCGUAGGCGGGUCUUUAAGUCAGGGGUGAAAUCCUGGAGCUCAACUCCAGAACUGCCUUUGAUACUGAGGAUCUUGAGUCCGGAAGAGGUAAGUGGAACUGCGAGUGUAGAGGUGAAAUUCGUAGAUAUUCGCAAGAACACCAGUGGCGAAGGCGGCUCACUGGUCCGGUACUGACGCUGAGGCACGAAAGCGUGGGGAGCAAACAGGAUUAGAAACCCCUGUAGUCCCAUG
RNAcentral lists this ribosomal RNA (450 nucleotides) under uncultured organism. RNAcentral's name for it is "partial 16S ribosomal RNA". It matches the Rfam family "Bacterial small subunit ribosomal RNA", at positions 333 to 799 of the family's 1533-position model. The record is from RNAcentral.